Molecule: ribosomal RNA, 253 nt
Filed under: uncultured bacterium
Lineage: Bacteria
Description: partial 16S ribosomal RNA
Rfam family: Bacterial small subunit ribosomal RNA
Source: RNAcentral
UACGAAGGGGGCUAGCGUUGCUCGGAAUCACUGGGCGUAAAGGGCGCGUAGGCGGCCGAUCAAGUCGGAGGUGAAAGCCCAGGGCUCAACCCUGGAAUGGCCUUCGAUACUGGUUGGCUCGAGUCCGGAAGAGGUGAGUGGAACUGCGAGUGUAGAGGUGAAAUUCGUAGAUAUUCGCAAGAACACCAGUGGCGAAGGCGGCUCACUGGUCCGGUACUGACGCUGAGGUGCGAAAGCGUGGGGAGCAAACAGG